CCUUUAUGCUCUGCAUCUAUCGAUUGAGUAAGUUACAUUCAUAUAUGUUACCCGUUUACACGUCAUGGCAAAACAUUCAACAUCAGUGACACAAGGGUACAUGUGAUGAUACAUUGUCAACAUUGCAUGUAUGUCAGACUCAAGAGUGUCUGGUGGAAUGGAGAAAGAGGCACCACUGUACAGAUUUCUAGGGAAAGUCGUUCUGCUGACACCAAAACAACCAUUUGUCUUCCUAAAAUACUGGUCCUUCCGUAUAACAAUAACCUUGUAUGUGAUUGGAGGACCCUUAGACUCCUCGUCCAAUCACGUGUGAGGUCAUAGGCAUGACUGAUACAGCAGUACUUGCAAGACGAGCAUACAAACAGACACGUGUGUUACUAUAUUCAGAAGAACUGUAUCUCCAGUUCCUUUGUUUGGUUUUUGCUGGUUCGUGAAUAAUGGCUGGACGACGUCUCGCGUUCAACUCGCCUUCAACUCCUCUCCGCGGUCACCAACUUUCGGCCAGUCCGCAAACAGACGAGAAGAAGCUGCUGAAAGCUCUCAGUGGAUCGUCUCGUCAACUCCAACAACAAACUGCCGAUAUCAACGAGCGGUUCGCUCCACUGGAGCGUUCGGGACUCUGCGGGUUUCUGUCCAUGGAGGAGAGGAACCGACUCAAAGAAGAGGAGACGGGCGCACAAUCCCACGAUAGCGGAAGCGGUGCGCCGUCUUCUCAACUCCGAGACGAACUACAGGCGCCACGAACCAGAGCAAGGACUAAUCUCGCCUCAUAAUGAGGCGGUGACCUCGUAUUUGCUCCGGGAAAAGUCCAGAUUUAGACGACGUCAUUGUGUCCGCCUGUGAGACGUAUUUUGAGACGGGACGCAGGAGCUUCAGGUUCAUGCGGAACACUCAUUGCGAGCGGAAGCUGCGAAGGAUUCAGCGCGGAGUCGAGCGAGAAGAAAGAGGCUGCUGGAAUCGAGACAAAGUGCGCUGGCUGAUGACGAGGUGGAACUCUGGAAAUCCGCCACCGUAGUGCUCACGUCGGGCGGAGAGGACGGCGUUGUUGGCGGGGUCUCGGCGUGGAUUGUACGGUCGCCACACGCACACGAGCCGCCUGCACAACAGACCUGCCUCGGAAAACACGGCGCCAGUGACGGUCUACAACCCCGAGGAGGCAAACGGACAGUUUACGGAGCUGUAGUUUUUAAACCGCCUUUACCCAAGUGUGGGCAGAUCCUCACUUUGUAUGUAGUUGUUGAUUGUGUGUUGUUAAUAAAGCUCUUUCUUUGCA
Long non-coding RNA from Gasterosteus aculeatus aculeatus (three-spined stickleback), 1273 nucleotides. Lineage: Eukaryota; Metazoa; Chordata; Actinopteri; Perciformes; Gasterosteidae. The record is from Ensembl.